RNAcentral lists this long non-coding RNA (277 nucleotides) under Mytilus galloprovincialis (Mediterranean mussel). The record is from RNAcentral. Lineage: Eukaryota; Metazoa; Mollusca; Bivalvia; Mytilida; Mytilidae.
UACAAACGAUAUCGUAGACUUAUUCUGCAAAACUAAUUAUGCAAUGUGAACAAAGACUUCAAUUGAUGGCAAGUAUCUCUAUAUAUAUUAUUAUACGAGUUACAACCUGUACAACAACGGUAGAAGCAAGAAUCAGCAAAAGUAAACAUUCCCGAGUGACGUCACUACGCGGGUUUUUCACAUGCUAUUUUCGGCAUUUUUCAAGGAACUAAUCAGAACUUUUUGAUAUAAAAUACACAUAUUUACAGAAAUAAAUGUAUGUUUUAUUAUAUUGAAC